This 274-nucleotide ribosomal RNA is filed under the name uncultured bacterium. RNAcentral's name for it is "partial 16S ribosomal RNA". It matches the Rfam family "Bacterial small subunit ribosomal RNA", at positions 523 to 796 of the family's 1533-position model. The record is from RNAcentral.
AUACGGAGGGUGCAAGCGUUAAUCGGAAUUACUGGGCGUAAAGCGUACGUAGGCGGUUCGUUAAGUUAGAUGUGAAAGCCCCGGGCUUAACCUGGGAACUGCAUUUAAAACUGGCGAACUAGAGUUGAGUAGAGGGGAGUGGAAUUUCAGGUGUAGCGGUGAAAUGCGUAGAGAUCUGAAGGAACACCAGUGGCGAAGGCGGCUCACUGGUCCGGUACUGACGCUGAGGUACGAAAGCGUGGGUAGCAAACGGGAUUAGAAACCCUUGUAGUCC